Molecule: long non-coding RNA, 330 nt
Organism: Oreochromis aureus
Lineage: Eukaryota; Metazoa; Chordata; Actinopteri; Cichliformes; Cichlidae
Source: Ensembl
AAAAGAGAAAAGAAAUGAGGGAACAAGAAUAUUCAGAGAACUUGGAAGCAAAUGGAUAAAAAUCAGGAAACAAAAUGGAUUAAACUGAAUCUAAAGGUCAUGUGAUCAGCAGACUAAGCAGAGAUGCCCAGACCUCCCCUUUCUCCACAUCCAAUUCUUCAUGGGUGAUGACCAAGGCAGCCGACAGCAGGACAACGACCCCAAACACACAGCCAAAGUCAUUAAGAACUAUCUUCAGCCUAAAGAAGAACAAGAAGUACUGGAAGUGAUGGUACGGCCCCCACAGAGCCCUGAUCUCAGCAUCAUGGAGAGUGUCUGGGAUUACAUGAA